UGAGUAACCUGCCCUUAACUCUGGGAUAAGCCUGGGAAACUGGGUCUAAUACCGGAUAUGACUCCUCAUCGCAUGGUGGGGGGUGGAAAGCUUUAUUGUGGUUUUGGAUGGACUCGCGGCCUAUCAGCUUGUUGGUGAGGUAAUGGCUCACCAAGGCGACGACGGGUAGCCGGCUGAGAGGGUGACCGGCCAACNCGGUAGGACNGACGACGACCG
This 216-nucleotide ribosomal RNA is filed under the name uncultured bacterium. RNAcentral describes it as "partial 16S ribosomal RNA". The stretch from base 1 to 192 matches the Rfam family "Bacterial small subunit ribosomal RNA", at positions 118 to 310 of the family's 1533-position model. The record is from RNAcentral.